Molecule: RNase P RNA, 312 nt
Filed under: unidentified eubacterium clone LGA#2
Lineage: Bacteria; Pseudomonadati; Pseudomonadota
Description: partial ribonuclease P RNA
Rfam family: Bacterial RNase P class A
About the family: Ribonuclease P (RNase P) is a ubiquitous endoribonuclease, found in archaea, bacteria and eukarya as well as chloroplasts and mitochondria. Its best characterised activity is the generation of mature 5'-ends of tRNAs by cleaving the 5'-leader elements of precursor-tRNAs.
Source: RNAcentral
GAGGAAAGUCCGGGCCCCACAGAGCAGGAUGCCGGCUAACGGCCGGGCGCAGCAAGCUUCGCAAGAAGCCCAAGGCGACAGACACCAGUGCAACAGAAACAUACCGCCUAAGUCCGCAAGGACCGGCAAGGGUGAAAUCGUGCGGUAAGAGCGCACGGCCGUCCUGGUAACAGUGGCGGCGGGCAACCUCAUCCGGGGCAAGGCCAAAUAGGGGAGCAUUGGCGUGGCUCGCGUCGCUCCCGGGUAGGCUGCUAGAGGCCGUCGGCAACGACGGUCCCAGAGGAAUGGUUGCCCACGACAGAACCCGGCUUA